Molecule: ribosomal RNA, 301 nt
Filed under: uncultured bacterium
Lineage: Bacteria
Description: partial 16S ribosomal RNA
Rfam family: Bacterial small subunit ribosomal RNA
Source: RNAcentral
CAGUAGCCGCGGUAAAACAGAGGGUGCGAGCGUUAAUCGGAUUUACUGGGCGUAAAGCGUGCGUAGGCGGCUAAUUGAGUCGGAUGUGAAAUCCCCGAGCUUAACUUGGGAAUUGCAUUCGAUACUGGUUAGCUAGAGUGUGGGAGAGGAUGGUAGAAUUCCAGGUGUAGCGGUGAAAUGCGUAGAGAUCUGGAGGAAUACCGAUGGCGAAGGCAGCCAUCUGGCCUAACACUGACGCUGAGGUACGAAAGCAUGGGGAGCAAACAGGAUUAGAUACCCCCGUAGUCCCUGUCUCUUAUAC